Molecule: long non-coding RNA, 1280 nt
Filed under: Sparus aurata (gilthead seabream)
Lineage: Eukaryota; Metazoa; Chordata; Actinopteri; Spariformes; Sparidae
Description: lncRNA (ENSSAUG00010005304.1)
Source: RNAcentral
CCUUGGGCUGUGUCUCUAGGCUGAUGCCUAUAUACUACUGUUUGCUCCGUUUGAAGGGCUAAGAAAAAUAAGGCUGGACGUGGCCUCCGAGAUGUAGAAUGUGUUAUAGAAGACAAACGCAAAUCAGCAUGUUAAGGCAUGUAUAGAUUUCUAGCUUCAUUUUAUGUUCAACCACAGUCUUCAAUAAAGUGAAAUCUAGAAUAUUUCACUAUUGUUACGUUUAACACAGAACAUAUCUACAGAAAAAUGAAGAUUCUCCAUGUAUAGCGAUCAGUGGUAGCUAUAUCCAACAGCAGAAUACGACUGUUAAUGUUCAAUAUGUUCAGGUUUGGAAACCCACGGAAGUGGGAAGGACAACACAUCUGGCAGGGGCGAUGAAGAACAAUGCAACAUCCAGUCUUCACCCCAGUCAGGUGACCAGGAGAUUGACCAGACCAGAGAAGAAGGUUUGGAAACCCACGGAAGUGGGAAGGACAACACAUCUGGCAGGGACGAUGAAGAACAAUGCAACAUCCAGUCUUCACCCCAGUCAGGUGACCAGGAGAUUGACCAGACCAGAGAAGAAGGUUUGGAAACCCACGGAAGUGGGAAGGACAACACAUCUGGCAGGGACGAUGAAGAACAAUGCAACAUCCAGUCUUCACCCCACUCAGGUGACCAGGAGAUUGACCAGACCAGAGAAGAAGGUUUGGAAACCCACGGAAGUGGGAAGGACAACACAUCUGGCAGGGACGAUGAAGAACAAUGCAACAUCCAGUCUUCACCCCAGUCAGGUGACCAGGAGAUCGACCAGACUAGAGCGGAAGGUGAAGAGAUGUCCUCCAGUAACUCAAGUGUGUCAUCACAAGGCUCAGCAGAACCACAACAAUUCUUCACACACAAGUUGCCCAAUAAGCCUUGUUUCUUCUAUAUUAAACACAAUGAUUGGGUGAAACUUAAAAGAAAACAAAAAAACAAACAAUUCAAAUCAAUAAACUGGACUAAUGUCAUAUCAAAAGGAAUACGAACUGUGCAUCCUUACUGCAGUUUUGGAUUUAAAAGGCACACAGUAAAAUGUUUAGGAUCCAGGAAGAAGUGUCCAGCCUUCACCUGUUCCGGAUACUGCCUUUUCGAAGACUGUAGUGUCUGGGUUGAUGUGAAAGUGGAGAGCGAAUACUCUCUAAAGGCAGAUGUCAUUUUUCAUGGGGACAUGGUCAAACACAGGUGGGAUCAGCUCAAGAGAAGACCUAUAAGAUCACACGACAGAACAAAAAUUUCCAAGAAACUCAGUUCAAAACUUC